Molecule: long non-coding RNA, 244 nt
Filed under: Homo sapiens (human)
Lineage: Eukaryota; Metazoa; Chordata; Mammalia; Primates; Hominidae
Description: HSALNT0018359
Source: RNAcentral
UGCCAACACCCAUUGCUCCAGCAAGCACGAUGGGAACCCAUGGGCAACUCCCCUUCUCCCAUCAUCCCCCUUUAGACAGUCACUUCUCAGAAGUUUCCAGAAAGUUCUAAAAACUGGAGGCAGCAUCAUCAUUAUAAGGGAAAGAGAUGAAUGAAUGUGAAAGCAGCCUGAAGACGUGCCUGUUCUUCUCAGACCAUCUCAGUUUCGGGGCUUGAAAGAUGCUGCUGUGCCUUGUUACCUGGGA